UAACCUGCCUUGUAGCGGGGGAUAACUAUUGGAAACGAUAGCUAAUACCGCAUAACAAUGGAUGACGCAUGUCAUUUAUUUGAAAGGGGCAAUUGCUCCACUACAAGAUGGACCUGCGUUGUAUUAGCUAGUAGGUGAGGUAACGGCUCACCUAGGCGACGAUACAUAGCCGACCUGAGAGGGUGAUCGGCCACACUGGGACUGAGACACGGCCCAG
Molecule: ribosomal RNA, 217 nt
Filed under: uncultured bacterium
Lineage: Bacteria
Description: partial 16S ribosomal RNA
Rfam family: Bacterial small subunit ribosomal RNA
Source: RNAcentral